Long non-coding RNA from Salarias fasciatus (jewelled blenny), 101 nucleotides. RefSeq lists it as uncharacterized. NCBI's taxonomy places the organism in Eukaryota, Metazoa, Chordata, Actinopteri, Blenniiformes, Blenniidae. The transcript is spliced from 3 exons. The record is from RefSeq and is a predicted model, not a curated record.
UGAGGUGAAGUGGUGACCCUAAACUGCCCCUAAGUGUGAUUGUGAAUGUGUGUGUGUGUGUGUGUGUGUGUAGUGUGUGUGUGUGUUUGUCAUGUAAUGGA